UGUCUGUGCCUGAAGCGGCCCGUGUCAGUGACAAGGGUCUGGGCUGUGGCUCAAGGAGGUGUCGAGCCUCGAAGAUUCGUUGCUGUUGAGGCUGCGGGGAAACUCUGGCAGAGCCUCAUGAGAAACCUCGCUCCUACCUCACUCAUAGAACUGGUGACUGGACUGUUGAUAAACCAAACAUUCUCCAUCUCCUUGGAUCAGGUCAAAUUGUAAUUGGAGCCACAACAGGACCAGGAAACAGGUCAUCAGAACCUAUGAAAAGUUUUGAACAAGACUUUUACAAAUGCAGUAUAACAGACUGUGCGUGGCUCCCUUGGUGACAAUAUUUUAAUAAUAUCCUUUCUCUAGUCGGGUGACCAGAACUGCAUGCAGUAUUCCAAAUGUGGUCUUAUGAAGGUCUAGUACAAAGAUGAACCAACUCCUGUACUCGAUGAUGAAAUGCUGGAACAGUCCCAUGUUGGAGUCCAAAGGCUGAAUCAGUACCUCAGCGUACACGCGCCCAUGUGACCACCAACACUCAGAGGGUGGAAGUUCAUAGUGAGGGGU
Chiloscyllium plagiosum (whitespotted bambooshark) is the source of this 546-nucleotide non-coding RNA. The record is from RefSeq and is a predicted model, not a curated record. Lineage: Eukaryota; Metazoa; Chordata; Chondrichthyes; Orectolobiformes; Hemiscylliidae.